ACGCAAUAGAUCCAGGUGUGGUUUAAGGUCGAAAUUCAUGGGAAUUUGUUUUAGCAUUGAAAGUAAGCAAGUAUCUCAAGAACAACGGCAAUUAUCUUCUAAGAAAGGACAAGACUUUGAUCAGUCAGCAAGUAAAUUAAGUAGGCCAGACUCAUUUGACUUAAAAAGCCCGAGCAACACUCCAUUGGUCCCCAAGAAUGUCACUGAUCUUCGCCAGAAUCCCAGGAUAUAGUAAUGUUGACAUCUUUGCAUAUGAGGAAAUGAAAUUGGCCACAAAGCAUUUCCGACCUGAUUUCAUUCUUGGCGAGGGUGGAUUUGGAGUUGUUUAUAAG
This 332-nucleotide unclassified non-coding RNA is filed under the name Hevea brasiliensis (rubber tree). The record is from RNAcentral. Lineage: Eukaryota; Viridiplantae; Streptophyta; Magnoliopsida; Malpighiales; Euphorbiaceae.